GCAGACACAUUCUAGCCAAUCAGCAGCAGACCCUCCCUCCCAGACCCUCCCACCUCCUGGACAGCAUCCAUUUUACAUUCAUUGUGAAGCUGCAUUCUUAGUGAGCUGUCCAGGAGGUGGGAGGGUCUGGGAGGGAGGGUCUGCUGCUGAUUGGCUGAAUGUGUCUG
Molecule: microRNA precursor, 167 nt
Filed under: Pelobates cultripes (western spadefoot toad)
Lineage: Eukaryota; Metazoa; Chordata; Amphibia; Anura; Pelobatidae
Source: RNAcentral